RNAcentral lists this ribosomal RNA (844 nucleotides) under uncultured Staphylococcus sp. Its description in RNAcentral is "bacterial SSU rRNA". It matches the Rfam family "Bacterial small subunit ribosomal RNA", at positions 65 to 889 of the family's 1533-position model. Lineage: Bacteria; Bacillati; Bacillota; Bacilli; Caryophanales; Staphylococcaceae. The record is from RNAcentral.
AGCGAACGGACGAGAAGCUUGCUUCUCUGAUGUUAGCGGCGGACGGGUGAGUAACACGUGGAUAACCUACCUAUAAGACUGGGAUAACUUCGGGAAACCGGAGCUAAUACCGGAUAAUAUUUUGAACCGCAUGGUUCAAAAGUGAAAGACGGUCUUGCUGUCACUUAUAGAUGGAUCCGCGCUGCAUUAGCUAGUUGGUAAGGUAACGGCUUACCAAGGCAACGAUGCAUAGCCGACCUGAGAGGGUGAUCGGCCACACUGGAACUGAGACACGGUCCAGACUCCUACGGGAGGCAGCAGUAGGGAAUCUUCCGCAAUGGGCGCAAGCCUGACGGAGCAACGCCGCGUGAGUGAUGAAGGUCUUCGGAUCGUAAAACUCUGUUAUUAGGGAAGAACAUAUGUGUAAGUAACUGUGCACAUCUUGACGGUACCUAAUCAGAAAGCCACGGCUAACUACGUGCCAGCAGCCGCGGUAAUACGUAGGUGGCAAGCGUUAUCCGGAAUUAUUGGGCGUAAAGCGCGCGUAGGCGGUUUUUUAAGUCUGAUGUGAAAGCCCACGGCUCAACCGUGGAGGGUCAUUGGAAACUGGAAAACUUGAGUGCAGAAGAGGAAAGUGGAAUUCCAUGUGUAGCGGUGAAAUGCGCAGAGAUAUGGAGGAACACCAGUGGCGAAGGCGACUUUCUGGUCUGUAACUGACGCUGAUGUGCGAAAGCGUGGGGAUCAAACAGGAUUAGAUACCACUGGUAGUCCACGCCGUAAACGAUGAGUGCUAAGUGUUAGGGGGUUUCCGCCCCUUAGUGCUGCAGCUAACGCAUUAAGCACUCCGCCUGGGGAGUACGACCGC